This 489-nucleotide ribosomal RNA is filed under the name uncultured bacterium. RNAcentral's name for it is "bacterial SSU rRNA". It matches the Rfam family "Bacterial small subunit ribosomal RNA", at positions 34 to 507 of the family's 1533-position model. The record is from RNAcentral.
CGCUGGCGGCAUGCCUAAGACAUGCAAGUCGAACGAAGUGGCCCAACAUAAUGGAGUGCUUGCACAAAAUUUGCGAUGGAAUUUCCACUUAGUGGCAGACGGUGAGUAACACGUAAGUAAUCUACCUUAGAGACUGGGAUAAUGUUUGGAAACGAGCACUAAUACCGGAUAAUUCAUAUUUAGAUAACUAGAAAUGCUAAAAGAAGCGUUUGCUUCACUUUAAGAUGAGCUUGCGGCGUAUUAACUAGUUGGUGGGGUAAUGGCCUACCAAGGUGACGAUGCGUAGCCGAACUGAGAGGUUGAUCGGCCACAUUGGGACUGAGACACGGCCCAAACUCCUACGGGAGGCAGCAGUGGGGAAUAUUGCACAAUGGGCGAAAGCCUGAUGCAGCGACGCCGCGUGAGCGAAGAAGUAUUUCGGUAUGUAAAGCUCUAUCAGCAGGGAAGAUAAUGACGGUACCUGACUAAGAAGCACCGGCUAAAUACGUG